AUGCUUAACACAUGCAAGUCGAACGGAAACGAUGGAAGCUUGCUUCCAGGCGUCGAGUGGCGGACGGGUGAGUAAUGCUUGGGAAUCUGCCUAAUAGUGGGGGAAAACUCGGGGAAACUCGGGCUAAUACCGCAUAAUCUCUUCGGAGGAAAGGGGGCCUCUACAUGUAAGCUCUCGCUAAUAGAUGAGCCCAAGUCAGAUUAGCUUGUUGGUGAGGUAAAAGCUCACCAAGGCUACGAUCUGUAGCUGGUCUGAGAGGACGAUCAGCCACACUGGGACUGAGACACGGCCCAGACUCCUACGGGAGGCAGCAGUGGGGAAUAUUGCACAAUGGGCGCAAGCCUGAUGCAGCAAUGCCGCGUGUGUGAAGAAGGCCUUAGGGUUGUAAAGCACUUUCAAUAGAGAAGAAAAGCUUAGAGUUAAUAACUCUAAGCAUUGACGUAACCUAUAGAAGAAGCACCGGCUAAAUCCGUGCCAGCAGCCGCGGUAAUACGGAUGGUGCGAGCGUUAAUCGGAAUUACUGGGCGUAAAGCGCGCGUAGGCUGUUUUAUAAGUCGGAUGUGAAAUCCCCGGGCUCAACCUGGGAACUGCAUCCGAAACUAUUUAACUAGAGUAUGGGAGAGGUAAGUAGAAUUUCCGGUGUAGCGGUGAAAUGCGUAGAUAUCUGAAGGAACACCAGUGG
This 682-nucleotide ribosomal RNA is filed under the name uncultured bacterium. RNAcentral describes it as "bacterial SSU rRNA". It matches the Rfam family "Bacterial small subunit ribosomal RNA", at positions 44 to 715 of the family's 1533-position model. The record is from RNAcentral.